Leopardus geoffroyi (Geoffroy's cat) is the source of this 996-nucleotide long non-coding RNA. RefSeq lists it as uncharacterized. NCBI's taxonomy places the organism in Eukaryota, Metazoa, Chordata, Mammalia, Carnivora, Felidae. The record is from RefSeq and is a predicted model, not a curated record. The transcript is spliced from 3 exons.
UCCAUUGCACCAUUCUCAACUCUCACCAGCCUGCCCCUUUAUCAAUUCACUUCUGUGUUCCUGGUACCGGGAUGCGAAUAGAAAUAAAUAUGAUCCCAGACUUCAAGGAGCUCAGUCGGGGCAGUAACACAGAGAAGGCGACAUGAAGACAUCAGAAACGAGUAGAAAAAGUGGGAAGGAAAGAGUGAGUGAUGUUUUGUGGGCAAUGGUGGUACACAGAAGAUGUUUUCAUUGAGCCUUGAAUAAGAGCAGAAAUCUUCCAAGAGGCCACAGGUGAGGAGAACAGUGGUGUCGAGGUAGCGUUCGAUGACCUCCUGAUGUCUGUGUUUGCAACCGAAUUCUGGUUGUAAGUGUUGGACACCCCACAUGGUAGGUCAUUGUUUCACUCCAUCGCUUCAUGUCCAUUUUCCUCACUCAUUCAUCCAGCAGAUACGUAAGUGCCGUGUUAGGCCACGUAUUUAGGCCAGCCCCGGAGAUCUAAAGAAAAGCAAGCCUUUGCCUUCCAAAAGUUCGUAUCUGAGAGAGACAGAGAGAGAGCGUGCGCGCGCAAGAGAGUUCAUUACCAAACAGCAUCCCAUGUCAGGUUUCUUCGGUCGCCUUUUCUCCACUCCUGUGUCAACUUUUUGUGAAUAUCAUUGCCGCCAUGUUGUUGAGUACCAACAUAAGAGACUCUCCAUUCAUUUGCUGGCACACCUGAAACUUUCUAAAAUACCAUAAGAUUCAGGAAUUUUUCCUGUUUACCUUGUGCUGUCCUCUCUACCUCACCCCAUGCACAACUGAAAUGUACGUUCUACAAAGCAAAGAUUUCUCAUUCUCUGGUUGACUGACUAUCUCAAGCACCUAGAACAGCAUCCGGCAUAUAAUAUAUACUCAACAAACAACUUCUUCGUGAAGAAAUGAUUUUUUUUAACGCUUCUGGUAUGGAAAAUGCCAAACAUAAAUAGAAGUGGUGAACAGUACAAUAAAUUCCUAAGAACCACCACCCAAGUCAACAGU